AGAGAGAAGCUUGCUUCUCUUGAGAGCGGCGGACGGGUGAGUAAUGCCUAGGAAUCUGCCUGGUAGUGGGGGAUAACGUUCGGAAACGGACGCUAAUACCGCAUACGUCCUACGGGAGAAAGCAGGGGACCUUCGGGCCUUGCGCUAUCAGAUGAGCCUAGGUCGGAUUAGCUAGUUGGUGAGGUAAUGGCUCACCAAGGCGACGAUCCGUAACUGGUCUGAGAGGAUGAUCAGUCACACUGGAACUGAGACACGGUCCAGACUCCUACGGGAGGCAGCAGUGGGGAAUAUUGGACAAUGGGCGAAAGCCUGAUCCAGCCAUGCCGCGUGUGUGAAGAAGGUCUUCGGAUUGUAAAGCACUUUAAGUUGGGAGGAAGGGUUGUAGAUUAAUACUCUGCAAUUUUGACGUUACCGACAGAAUAAGCACCGGCUAACUCUGUGCCAGCAGCCGCGGUAAUACAGAGGGUGCAAGCGUUAAUCGGAAUUACUGGGCGUAAAGCGCGCGUAGGUGGUUUGUUAAGUUGGAUGUGAAAUCCCCGGGCUCAACCUGGGAACUGCAUUCAAAACUGACUGACUAGAGUAUGGUAGAGGGUGGUGGAAUUUCCUGUGUAGCGGUGAAAUGCGUAGAUAUAGGAAGGAACACCAGUGGCGAAGGCGACCACCUGGACUAAUACUGACACUGAGGUGCGAAAGCGUGGGGAGCAAACAGGAUUAGAUACCCUGGUAGUCCACGCCGUAAACGAUGUCAACUAGCCGUUGGAAGCCUUGAGCUUUUAGUGGCGCAGCUAACGCAUUAAGUUGACCGCCUGGGGAGUACGGCCGCAAGGUUAAAACUCAAUGAAUUGACGGGGGCCCGCACA
RNAcentral lists this ribosomal RNA (860 nucleotides) under Pseudomonas sp. S3-1. RNAcentral's name for it is "bacterial SSU rRNA". It matches the Rfam family "Bacterial small subunit ribosomal RNA", at positions 71 to 927 of the family's 1533-position model. Lineage: Bacteria; Pseudomonadati; Pseudomonadota; Gammaproteobacteria; Pseudomonadales; Pseudomonadaceae. The record is from RNAcentral.